Amycolatopsis methanolica 239 is the source of this 52-nucleotide regulatory RNA element. It matches the Rfam family "L31-Actinobacteria ribosomal protein leader". Lineage: Bacteria; Bacillati; Actinomycetota; Actinomycetes; Pseudonocardiales; Pseudonocardiaceae. The record is from Rfam.
CCGGCUCCGGUUCACCCCACGUGUCGAAGAACGCCGCGGGGACCCGGCGGCC